Molecule: ribosomal RNA, 435 nt
Filed under: uncultured bacterium
Lineage: Bacteria
Description: partial 16S ribosomal RNA
Rfam family: Bacterial small subunit ribosomal RNA
Source: RNAcentral
AACGAACGCUGGCGGCAGGCCUAACACAUGCAAGUCGAGCGGACAUCUUCGGAUGUUAGCGGCGGACGGGUGAGUAACGCGUGGGAACGUGCCCUUUGCUUCGGAAUAGCCUCGGGAAACUGGGAGUAAUACCGGAUGUACCCUUUGGGGGAAAGAUUUAUCGGCAAAGGAUCGGCCCGCGUUGGAGUAGGUAGUUGGUGGGGUAAUGGCCUACCAAGCCGACGAUCCAUAGCUGGUUUGAGAGGAUGAUCAGCCACACUGGGACUGAGACACGGCCCAGACUCCUGCGGGAGGCAGCAGUGGGGGAUCUUAGCCAAUGGGGGAAACCCUGAUCUAGCCAUGCCGCGUGAGCGAUGAAGGCCUUAGGGUUGUAAAGCUCUUUCACCGGGGAAGAUAAUGACGGUACCCGGAGAAGAAGCCCCGGCUAACUCCGUG